This 464-nucleotide ribosomal RNA is filed under the name uncultured bacterium. RNAcentral's name for it is "partial 16S ribosomal RNA". It matches the Rfam family "Bacterial small subunit ribosomal RNA", at positions 339 to 795 of the family's 1533-position model. The record is from RNAcentral.
CUACGGGAUGCUGCAGUGAGGAAUUUUGCGCAAUGGGGGAAACCCUGACGCAGCAACGCCGCGUGAGCGAAGAAGGCCUUCGGGUCGUAAAGCUCUGUCAAGUGGGAAAAAAAUUCUUUGAUGAACAGUCAAAGGACUUGAUUGUACCACUGGAGGAAGCACUGGCUAACUCCGUGCCAGCAGCCGCGGUAAUACGGAGGGUGCAAGCGUUGUUCGGAAUUACUGGGCGUAAAGAGCGUGUAGGCGGUUUGACAAGUCAGAUGUGAAAGCCCCGGGCUCAACCCGGGAAGUGCAUUUGAAACUGUUUCACUAGAGUAUGGGAGAGGAGAUUGGAAUUCCUGGUGUAGAGGUGAAAUUCGUAGAUAUCAGGAGGAACACCCGUGGCGAAGGCGAUUCUCUGGACCAAUACUGACGCUGAGACGCGAAAGCGUGGGGAGCAAACAGGAUUAGAUACCCGCGUAGUC